GACGAACGCUGGCGGCGUGCUUAACACAUGCAAGUCGAACGGACAGGCCCUGCUUGUAGGGUACUCGAGUGGCGAACGGGUGAGUAACACGUGGGUGAUCUGCCCUGCACUUCGGGAUAAGCCUGGGCAACUGGGUCUAAUACCGGAUAGGAGAUAUUUUUAGUGUGAUGGUUGGAAAGUUUUUUCGGUGUUGGCUGAGCUCGCGGCCUAUCGGCUUGCUGGUGUGGUGAUGGCCUACCAAGGCGGCGACGGGUAGCAGGCCUGAGAGGGUGGACGGCCAUCUUGGGACUUAGAGACGGCCCAGACAGCUACGGGAGGCAGCAGGGGGGAAGAUUGCACGAUGGGCGCAAGCCUGGUGCAGCGAGGCCUCGGGGCGUAUGACGGUCUUCGGAUUGUAAACUCUUUUCGCAAGGGACUAAGCUUUUUGUGACGGUACCUAGACAGAAAGCACCGGCUAACUACGUG
This 465-nucleotide ribosomal RNA is filed under the name uncultured bacterium. RNAcentral describes it as "partial 16S ribosomal RNA". It matches the Rfam family "Bacterial small subunit ribosomal RNA", at positions 28 to 507 of the family's 1533-position model. The record is from RNAcentral.